UUGUAUUCCACCCCUCCUUUUUUUUUGUUCGAUGCCGAUGUUGUCUGGAGGUUCCUGGUCGUCGCCACAUCGGCUUGCUUUUCUUGUCAUCUUUCUUCUUCAGCCUCAAGGGCUCUGUAAUGCAUACUUAGUUAAUGACAUGAGAAGAAAAUUUUUCGUUACCUCUUUUACUCACGUGUUGAAUUGUUAUUUGCUGAGCUUCUUUCGGCUUUUGCCUUGCUUGAUAUCGAUGCCGUUCGGAGGUACCCAAUCACCGUCGCAUUGAUCCAUCCUUUUGUUUAUGGCC
This 286-nucleotide long non-coding RNA is filed under the name Elaeis guineensis (African oil palm). Its description in RNAcentral is "long non-coding RNA (EGUI_LNC069565)". Lineage: Eukaryota; Viridiplantae; Streptophyta; Magnoliopsida; Arecales; Arecaceae. The record is from RNAcentral.